GACGAACGCUGGCGGCGUGCUUAACACAUGCAAGUCGAACGGAAAGGCCCUGCUUUUGUGGGGUGCUCGAGUGGCGAACGGGUGAGUAACACGUGAGUAACCUGCCCUUGACUUUGGGAUAACUUCAGGAAACUGGGGCUAUUACCGGAUAGGAGCUCCUGCUGCAUGGUGGGGGUUGGAAAGUUUCGGCGGUUGGGGAUGGACUCGCGGCUUAUCAGCUUGUUGGUGAGGUAGUGGCUUACCAAGGCUUUGACGGGUAGCCGGCCUGAGAGGGUGACCGGCCACAUGGGGACUGAGAUACGGCCCAGACUCCUACGGGAGGCAGCAGUGGGGAAUAUUGCACAAUGGGCGGAAGCGUGAUGCAGCAACGCCGCGUGCGGGAUGACGGCCUUCGGGUUGUAAACCGCUUUCGCCUGUGACGAAGCGUGAGUGACGGUAAUGGGUAAGGAAGCACCGGCUAACUACGUG
RNAcentral lists this ribosomal RNA (468 nucleotides) under uncultured bacterium. RNAcentral describes it as "partial 16S ribosomal RNA". It matches the Rfam family "Bacterial small subunit ribosomal RNA", at positions 28 to 507 of the family's 1533-position model. The record is from RNAcentral.